AUACGUAGGGGACGAGCGUUGUCCGGAAUUACUGGGCGUAAAGGGCGCGCAGGCGGAUAUUUAAGUCAGCUGUAAAAGGCAUGAGCUCAACUCAUGUAUGCGGUUGAAACUGGGUAUCUAGAGUGCUGGAGAGGUAGGCGGAAUUCCCGGUGUAGCGGUGAAAUGCGGAGAUAUCGGGAAGAACACCAGUGGCGAAGGCGGCGUGCUGGGCAGCAACUGACGCUGAGGCGCGAAAGCCAGGGGAGCGAACGGGAUUAGAUACCCCGGUAGUCCUGGCCGUAAACGAUGUAUGCUGGGUGUGAGACUAGCGGUAGUUUCGUGCCGAAGUUAACGCGAUAAGCAUACCGCCUGGGGAGUACGGUCGCAAGAUUGAAACUCAAAGGAAUUGGCGGGG
This 394-nucleotide ribosomal RNA is filed under the name uncultured bacterium. RNAcentral describes it as "partial 16S ribosomal RNA". It matches the Rfam family "Bacterial small subunit ribosomal RNA", at positions 523 to 918 of the family's 1533-position model. The record is from RNAcentral.